GAACUGAUUAGAAGCUUGCUUCUAUGACGUUAGCGGCGGACGGGUGAGUAACACGUGGGCAACCUGCCUGUAAGACUGGGAUAACUUCGGGAAACCGAAGCUAAUACCGGAUAGGAUCUUCUCCUUCAUGGGAGAUGAUUGAAAGAUGGUUUCGGCUAUCACUUACAGAUGGGCCCGCGGUGCAUUAGCUAGUUGGUGAGGUAACGGCUCACCAAGGCAACGAUGCAUAGCCGACCUGAGAGGGUGAUCGGCCACACUGGGACUGAGACACGGCCCAGACUCCUACGGGAGGCAGCAGUAGGGAAUCUUCCGCAAUGGACGAAAGUCUGACGGAGCAACGCCGCGUGAGUGAUGAAGGCUUUCGGGUCGUAAAACUCUGUUGUUAGGGAAGAACAAGUACAAGAGUAACUGCUCGUACCUUGACGGUACCUAACCAGAAAGCCACGGCUAACUACGUGCCAGCAGCCGCGGUAAUACGUAGGUGGCAAGCGUUAUCCGGAAUUAUUGGGCGUAAAGCGCGCGCAGGCGGUUUCUUAAGUCUGAUGUGAAAGCCCACGGCUCAACCGUGGAGGGUCAUUGGAAACUGGGGAACUUGAGUGCAGAAGAGAAAAGCGGAAUUCCACGUGUAGCGGUGAAAUGCGUAGAGAUGUGGAGGAACACCAGUGGCGAAG
Molecule: ribosomal RNA, 671 nt
Filed under: Bacillus sp. T0-YC6747
Lineage: Bacteria; Bacillati; Bacillota; Bacilli; Caryophanales; Bacillaceae
Description: bacterial SSU rRNA
Rfam family: Bacterial small subunit ribosomal RNA
Source: RNAcentral